UACGUAGGGUGCAAGCGUUAAUCGGAAUUACUGGGCGUAAAGCGUGCGCAGGCGGUUUUGUAAGACAGAUGUGAAAUGCCCGGGCUUAACCUGGGAACUGCAUUUGUGACUGCAUGGCUAGAGUUUGGCAGAGGGGGGUAGAAUUCCACGUGUAGCAGUGAAAUGCGUAGAUAUGUGGAGGAACACCGAUGGUGAAGGCAGCCCCCUGGGUCAAAACUGACGCUCAUGCACGAAAGCGUGGGGAGCAAACAGG
Molecule: ribosomal RNA, 253 nt
Filed under: uncultured bacterium
Lineage: Bacteria
Description: partial 16S ribosomal RNA
Rfam family: Bacterial small subunit ribosomal RNA
Source: RNAcentral